UGUAGAGGAGCGGAGCGCCGCAGCCAGCCUAUCCCGGAGCCUCGGUCCUGGCCGGCGGGUAGAAGGGCGGCCGGCGAGGACUAGAGCCUGGCGGGGGAAGAAAGGCUGGCGGGAUACGAGAGGGCGUGAGAAGGGAAGCGAGGCCAGAAAAGAGAGCCAAAAGGGAGGGAAAGGCAGAGAAAGAGCCCGGGAAGAAGGAGGUGGCGGGCAGAGGAACCUAAGAAGAGCGAUGUGGCUCUCCUCGAGCAGAGUUUUAAGCUUGCUCUGAUGCAGAAAGUGGAGCCAAAAGAUGGAAUUGGGUACCCACUAGAAUUUAAGGAAAGAAGAUACUGGUAUCAAUACAGUGGGUCAGACACUCCUUUGGCCCCAGAACUCAGGCUUCUGGAUUGUUGGUCCUUCUGUGUCGGCUGAUUCUCUGUCCUGCCUACAGCCUCCCCAUUCUGAUGUUAACAGCAUUUGAGAUACUACAGAUAGCUCUAAGUCUAUUACUUCAAUCUAAUAAAGUUAUCUGAACCUCCCUGGG
This is a long non-coding RNA of Grammomys surdaster, 523 nucleotides long. RefSeq lists it as uncharacterized. The record is from RefSeq and is a predicted model, not a curated record. The transcript is spliced from 2 exons. Lineage: Eukaryota; Metazoa; Chordata; Mammalia; Rodentia; Muridae.